UGGGCUUUCUGACUGCGGACACCGCCCUCCGGGCCUGAGAGCCAAGCCCGGGUAUUAGGACUUUGUCCUGAUCCCUCUCCUCCUAUACCGACCACUCUGUCACACUGGCUCCCUGAGUCCUACCCUAGGCUGUCUGAGGAAACCGGGGAGAGAACCCCAGGCUGGGGCCAGGCCUUUUCCUCCUCUUCCCUUCUUGGAAUGCCUUUCGCUGAACUGGACUCCCAACUCCCACCCGUUUCUUCUCCCCAUUGGACUCCUCUAGAAGAAAAUUCACCCGCAGAGAACUUCAUGCCAGAGAUUCUGUAUGUCAGCUGUCCAGGCGUGGUGUGGAUGGAUUCUCUGAUCAGGGUUUCACAAACUUGUGCUCUCAUCUGGAACUCAGGAUUCUCCUCCAAGCUUCUACAGAGCAGCAGGUCCAUUGGUGUUUGAUUGAAUAACUAGGGGAAGAUGAAUAACCAGAAGAUCAAUUCAUAUCAUGGGGGCCAUCUUGGAAUCCGCUCAGCAUGGCCUGGUGUUUCCUUUUGUGUUUUAUUUGGUUACAAUUGGAAAUAGAAGUUCAAGUAAAUAGAUUGUUGUGAUUGGUAAUAAAAUACAAUCUGUCGACUUAGCCUUGAAAUUAUUCUUAAAUUUGAAAAUCAAGUAAUGAUACGUUUAAUAUCUCAUAGCUAAUUUAGAGCAAAUCAAAAUUAACAUGCAAUAAUUCCUUAUUCUCUUUGGACACAGUAUUAGUUAUCUGCUUUUGCCUAACAAAUUCCCCAAAACUUAGCAACUAAAGGCAAUAAACAUUUUUCUUCCAGUUUCCAAGGGUCGGUAAUCAGGGAAGUUUACCUGAGUGUUUGUGGUUCAGCACCUCUCAAGAAGUUAUAGCCGAGACGUCGGCCAGGGCUGCAUCAUCUGAAGGCUUGGCUGGGGCUGCGGCAUCCGCAUCUGAUACGGCUCACUCGUGGCUGUUGAGAGAGGCCUCAGUUCCUCAAUGGCUGGUCCCAGGAGGUGUAUGAUACAGCAGCUGGCUUCCGCCAGAGCAAGUGAUCUGAGAGAGACCAAGAUGGAAAUCACAAUCUGUUUUGUCUCCUAGACUCGGAGAUAAAACUCUAUUCCUAAGACCAGUCUACCCUUUAAGAGGAGAGAAUUAAGCUCCACUUUUGAUGGGAAGAGGAUCAAAGAAUUAUAUGUUAAAACCAAAAUUAAAAUUAAGUAUCAUUUCAGGAUUUUGUAAAUUAAAUGCUGCUUUUUAUCUAAUUAUUGUUCCUUACUGCUUCACGUUUAAAAAAAAGUAAUGAUUAAAAGUUUGA
This is a long non-coding RNA of Trichechus manatus latirostris (Florida manatee), 1292 nucleotides long. RefSeq lists it as uncharacterized. NCBI's taxonomy places the organism in Eukaryota, Metazoa, Chordata, Mammalia, Sirenia, Trichechidae. The record is from RefSeq and is a predicted model, not a curated record. The transcript has 3 exons.